RNAcentral lists this unclassified non-coding RNA (358 nucleotides) under soil metagenome. RNAcentral describes it as "partial contains 5.8S ribosomal RNA, internal transcribed spacer 2, and large subunit ribosomal RNA". The stretch from base 1 to 120 matches the Rfam family "5.8S ribosomal RNA", at positions 35 to 154 of the family's 154-position model. The record is from RNAcentral.
GAUGAAGAACGUAGCGAAAUGCGAUAAGUAAUGUGAAUUGCAGAAUUCAGUGAAUCAUCGAAUCUUUGAACGCACAUUGCGCCCGUCAGUAUUCUGGCGGGCAUGCCUGUUCGAGCGUCAUUACGCCCCUCAAGUCCCCUGUGGACUUGGUGUUGGGGAUCGGCGAGGCUGGUUUUCCAGCACAGCCGUCCCUUAAAUUAAUUGGCGGUCUCGCCGUGGCCCUCCUCUGCGCAGUAGUAAAACACUCGCAAUAGGAGCCCGGCGCGGUCCACUGCCGUAAAACCCCCCAACUUUUUAUAGUUGACCUCGAAUCAGGUAGGACUACCCGCUGAACUUAAGCAUAUCAAUAAGCGGAGGA